CCUACGGGUGGCAGCAGUAAGGAAUAUUGGUCAAUGGAGGCAACUCUGAACCAGCCAUGCCGCGUGCAGGAAGACGGCCCUAUGGGUUGUAAACUGCUUUUGUACCAGAGAAAACCCCGGUACGUGUACCGGGUUGAUAGUAUGGUAAGAAUAAGCAUCGGCUAACUUCGUGCCAGCAGCCGCGGUAAGACGAAGGAUGCAAGCGUUAUCCGGAUUCAUUGGGUUUAAAGGGUGCGUAGGCGGACUUGUAAGUCAGUGGUGAAAUCUCUCAGCUUAACUGAGAAACUGCCAUUGAUACUGCAGGUCUAGAGUACAGAUGAUGUGGGCGGAAUAUGACAUGUAGUGGUGAAAUACUUAGAUAUGUCAUAGAACACCGAUUGCGAAGGCAGCUCACAAAACUGUAACUGACGCUGAGGCACGAAAGUGCGGGGAUCAAACAGGAUUAGAUACCCUAGUAGUC
This 460-nucleotide ribosomal RNA is filed under the name uncultured Bacteroidota bacterium. RNAcentral describes it as "bacterial SSU rRNA". It matches the Rfam family "Bacterial small subunit ribosomal RNA", at positions 338 to 795 of the family's 1533-position model. The record is from RNAcentral. Lineage: Bacteria; Pseudomonadati; Bacteroidota.